RNAcentral lists this long non-coding RNA (1517 nucleotides) under Taeniopygia guttata (zebra finch). Its description in RNAcentral is "lncRNA (ENSTGUG00000023882.1)". The record is from RNAcentral. Lineage: Eukaryota; Metazoa; Chordata; Aves; Passeriformes; Estrildidae.
GGACAAUCCCCCCGGAGGUGGCCCCGAUCCGGGGGGAGGAGGGGGAGGGGGCGGGGGCGGGGGUGGGACCCCCCGAAACGGGGAGGGGGGUGGGAAAAGGGGGGGAAGGGGAGAGGAACCCAUGGACUGGGGGGGAUUUGGGGGUCCAGGGGGGUUUGGGGGUGUCCAGAGGGGUUUUGGGAGGGGGUCCCAUAUUGGGGAGGGGGUCGGGGAGGUUGGGGGUGGUCCGGGGGGGGUCGGGAGGGGUCGGGGGUGGGGGAGGGGGGAUUAGAGCUCCAUCCCCGCUCAUCCCCGCCCGGGCUGGGGGGGGUGGGGGUCCGGCCCCCGCCCCUCCCCCACCCCGCUCCGGACUGGGGGCACCGUGAGCAAACUGGUGGCCACAGUGGCCGUACUGGUGGGCACUGGGCUCGGACUGGUGGCCGUCAUUGCCAUACUGGUUUUACUCGCGGCUGCAGUGCCCGUACUGGUCCCAUACUGGUCCUGUACUGGUGGCUGAGGUGCCCAUACUGGUGCCAUACUGGUGGCACUGGUGCCUCUACUGGUCUCGUACUCGUCCCAGUUGUCCCCAUACUGGUCCUGCACUGGUGUCCGUGGUGCCCCUACUGGUCCAGUACUGGUGGCCACGAUCUCCAUACUGGUCCUGAUGUCCCUAUACUGGCCCCAGUUGUCCCACACUGGUCCCAGUUAUCCCCACACUGGUCCCAGUUGCCCUGUACUGGUCCCUGUUAUCUCCGUACUGGUCCCAGUUGUCUCCCUACUGGUCCCCGUUCUCCCCGUACUGGUCCCAGUUCUCCCGUACUGGUCCCAGUUCUCCCGUACUGGUCCCGUUCUCCCCGUACUGGUCCCGCUGUCCCCGUACUGGUCCCAGUUCUCCCCGUACUGGUCCCCGCUCUCCCCGUACUGGUCCCAGUUUCUCCCCGUACUGGUCCCCGCUCUCCCCGUACUGGUCCCAGUUUCUCCCCGUACUGGUCCCAGUUCUCCCCGUACUGGUCCCAGUUCUCCCGUACUGGUCCCAGUGAUUCCCGUACUGGUCCCGCUCUCCCCGUACUGGUCCCGCUCUCCCUGUACUGGUCCCAGUUCUCCCGUACUGGUCCCGCUCUCCCCGUACUGGUCCCAGUUCUCCCCGUACUGGUCCCAGUUCUCCCGUACUGGGGCAGCGGGACCCGGGGCGGGCGGGGCGUGGCCAGGGGAGGGCGUGGCUCUGGGGGCGUGGCCAGGGGAGGGCGUGGCUCUGGGGGCGUGGCCAGGAGAGGGCGUGGCGCUGGGGGCGUGGCCUCGCGGACCGUUACGGCCGUUGGAUUUCAAACCCUUCGCAGCGCGGGGGGGCCCAGGCCACGCCUCCGCCGCCGUGUCUUGACCGACGUCCCGUACAGCCAAUCAGCGUUCGGCGUCCCGGCGCGGGGCCCAAUGAGCGGCCGCGCGCGCUCCGCCGACCCCGCCCCCCGUAACUGACAGCGCUUCCCGCCAAUUCCAACGGCCCGGCGCGAGCGCCCCGGCCCCGCCCCCGGAGGGCGGCC